Marmota monax (woodchuck) is the source of this 1782-nucleotide long non-coding RNA. RefSeq lists it as uncharacterized. The transcript is spliced from 3 exons. The record is from RefSeq and is a predicted model, not a curated record. NCBI's taxonomy places the organism in Eukaryota, Metazoa, Chordata, Mammalia, Rodentia, Sciuridae.
GGGAGUUGUGGAAAAUGAAAUAAAAAUGUCUCUAUCUUUUCUGUAAACCCCAAAGCAAGAAAGAAGAAAGAGCAGCUGGCUCCUACCAGCAAACCCGGAGGCGGGGACGCUAAGCAAUGCGGCACUCCCUGGCAUCCAUCAGCCCAGGCUUCGGCGGCGGUGGCGGCAGCGGGGGCGACAGCAGCAUCAACUCCUCUCGGCGAUUAUCUUUUCAAGGAUAUCUGCAUAAUGAAUAGCCUUGGAAGAGCCUUGAAAGAUAGAGAUAAUAGUACCUCCAUCCAGAAUGAAGAGAGAGUUUAUUUAUAGCAUUUGAAGAGGGAUGUUUUCCUACUGAACAAAAGGCAAGCAGCCUUGUGGAAUUGGAGCUGAGAGGCCAGUGCACAAAACGUUGAUGCUGUUAUUUCCUGCAGCACCUGAGUGAGAAAGUCCUUUAUCUCUGACCCAGGAGUUUGACAUAUUCUACAAGCAUCCAUGAAACUACAGCUUGUAUGUAAGAUUAAAACUCAGAUCCUUCACUGUAUUUAAAAACUAUUGCUUAAAUUUGUUUUCUGAUAUGGAACAAUUAGACUAUAUUUUUUAGAGGAAUUUACAAGAUAAAUUAAAUUUGUUGGUCCAUGAUAUGAUGUAACUGCAUUUAGUAACAAUAUGUUUAUUAUAUCUUGCUAACAAUAGAAUUGCUUCAAAUAAGCUUAUUUUAAUAUAUCAAUAUAUGAUAUAAUAGUCUCUGUCCUGCAAUGGGAUUUUUAGAAUAGAGCAGAUAGGUAGAUAUAUAAAAAAAAAACCUUUUUAUGACAUUUGCAAACUAUUAGUCUCUUUUUCCAAUAUUAUACUAUUAUCUUUACUAGUACUUUUGAAAUUAGUUUUGGAACCAAAAUAAACACAAAGUCAUCUAUGAAUUAAACAAGGUAUUUAUCCAGAGGACAUCAGUGCAUUUGAUUCCAUUAAAUAUUAAUUUACCUUGUUAAAUGAAUGCAAAGUAGUGUAAGAACUAGAAUAUGAGAAUAAAUUAACUAAACAAAAGGAUUAAUUAAAGCAUUAUUGGAAAAUAAUUAAAUCAAGAACUUCAGGUGUUUUCAAGCAACUGGAAAGAAAAGUCUGCUGAAUUUAAAAUGGAUAGAGUAAGUAGUUGGUGUUUUAAAAUAUUUUAUUGGAUUUAUUGUAUAGAAAGAGGCACAAUGAAAAGACGCACAGUUCGAUUACAUACUCUAAAGUAAACACUUGUUUAAAUAUUUAUCCAAGAUAGAGAAUAGAACCUUGGCAAGAAAGAGAAAGCCCCCAUUGCUAUCUCUUCCUGACUAUUGGCCACGUCUUUCCAAUAAGUGAAGUCACAUUAUCUUCCUUUUGAAAUUAAUUCUUGUUUUUAUUUAAAUUUUAUAAGCUAAGUAACCAGUGUAGUUUUUCCAAUUUUUGUACAUAAAUCAAUAUCUCUAUGUAAUUUUUUGAUUGGCCUUUUUCCUUCAAUAAUACGUGAGAUUAAUCCAUGUUGCUACUUGUAGUUAGUUAAUUCUAAUUUAGUGAUGAUGCAUGUUAUGCAAUCUAUGCACAUACUAGAAUAUAUUUUUCCUCAGAUGAAGAUUUGAUAUUUAUAAAAUUUGGGCUGUUAUUAUUCAUGAUGUAUGAACAGUCUUAUAUGCAUCUCAGUGCACAAAGACUUACUUAGGAAUGAAAAUUGCUGGAUCAUAUGGCAUAAGCAUCUUUAAAUUUAGUAAACAAUGCUAAGCUAUUUUCCAAAUGGCUGUACUAUUUCACUCUCCCACCCCCACAGCAGAUUUUGAGUUUUCA